CUGUAAUUGGAAUGAGUACACUUUAAAUCCUUUAACAAGGACCUAUUGGAGGGCAAGUCUGGUGCCAGCAGCCGCGGUAACUCCAGCUCCAAUAGCGUAUAUUAAAGUUGUUGCGGUUAAAACGUUCGUAGUUGAACUUGUGCUUCAUACGGGUAGUACAGCUAUAAUUGUAGUUUGUACUGUACCUUAUGUAUGUAAGCGUAUUACCGGUGGAGUUCUUAUAUGUAUUAAAUACUUGUAUUUAUGCAUGUUCCUCCUAUUUAAACCUGCUUCAGUGCUCUUCAUCGAGUGUUGUUGUGGGCCGGUACAAUUACUUUGAACAAAUUAGAGUGCUUAAAGCAGGCUCCAAAUGCCUGAAUAUUUUGUGCAUGGAAUAAUGAAAUAAGACCUCUGUUCUACUUUCAUUGGUUUUUAGAUCAAGAGGUAAUGAUUAAUAGAAGCAGUUUGGGGGCAUUAGUAUUACGACGCGAGAGGUGAAAUUCUUGGACCGUCGUAAGACUAACUUAAGCGAAAGCAUUUGCCAAAGAUGUUUUCAUUAAUCAAGAACGAAAGUUAGAGGUUCGAAGGCGAUCAGAUACCGCCCUAGUUCUAACCAUAAACGAUGCCAGCUAGCAAUUGGGUGUAGCUACUAUCAUGGCUCUCUCAGUCGCUUCCCGGGAAACCAAAGCUUUUGGGCUCCGGGGGAAGUAUGGUUGCAAAGCUGAAACUUAAAGGAAUUGACGGAAGGGCACCACCAGGAGUGGAGCCUGCGGCUUAAUUUGACUCAAC
Molecule: ribosomal RNA, 768 nt
Filed under: Rhinomorinia sp. T635
Lineage: Eukaryota; Metazoa; Arthropoda; Insecta; Diptera; Rhinophoridae
Description: SSU rRNA
Rfam family: Eukaryotic small subunit ribosomal RNA
Source: RNAcentral